This 478-nucleotide ribosomal RNA is filed under the name uncultured bacterium. Its description in RNAcentral is "partial 16S ribosomal RNA". It matches the Rfam family "Bacterial small subunit ribosomal RNA", at positions 28 to 523 of the family's 1533-position model. The record is from RNAcentral.
GACGAACGCUGGCAGCGUGCUUAACACAUGCAAGUCGAACGGUAAGGCCCUUCGGGGUACACGAGUGGCGAACGGGUGAGUAACACGUGGGUGAUCUGCCCUGCACUUCGGGAUAAGCCUGGGAAACUGGGUCUAAUACCGGAUAGGACCCUGGGAUGCAUGUCCUGGGGUGGAAAGCUUUUGUGGUGUGGGAUGGGCCCGCGGCCUAUCAGCUUGUUGGUGGGGUGGUGGCCUACCAAGGCGACGACGGGUAGCCGGCCUGAGAGGGUGACCGGCCACACUGGGACUGGGAUACGGCCCAGACUCCUACGGGAGGCAGCAGUGGGGAAUAUUGCACAAUGGGCGCAAGCCUGAUGCAGCGACGCCGCGUGAGGGAUGACGGCCUUCGGGUUGUAAACCUCUUUCAGCACCGACGAAGCGCAAGUGACGGUAGGUGCAGAAGAAGGACCGGCCAACUACGUGCCAGCAGCCGCCGUAA